This 403-nucleotide ribosomal RNA is filed under the name Verrucomicrobiota bacterium. RNAcentral describes it as "Verrucomicrobia bacterium partial 16S ribosomal RNA". It matches the Rfam family "Bacterial small subunit ribosomal RNA", at positions 355 to 776 of the family's 1533-position model. Lineage: Bacteria; Pseudomonadati; Verrucomicrobiota. The record is from RNAcentral.
UGGGGAAUAUUGCACAAUGGGCGCAAGCCUGAUGCAGCAACGCCGCGUGAACGAUGAAGGUCUUCGGAUCGUAAAGUUCUGUUGCAGGGGAAGAUAAUGACGGUACCCUGUGAGGAAGCCCCGGCUAACUACGUGCCAGCAGCCGCGGUAAUACGUAGGGGGCUAGCGUUAUCCGGAUUUACUGGGCGUAAAGGGUGCGUAGGUGGUCUUUCAAGUCGGUGGUUAAAGGCUACGGCUCAACCGUAGUUAGCCUCCGAAACUGGAAGACUUGAGUGCAGGAGAGGAAAGUGGAAUUCCCAGUGUAGCGGUGAAAUGCGUAGAUAUUGGGAGGAACACCAGUAGCGAAGGCGGCUUUCUGGACUGCAACUGACACUGAGGCACGAGAGCGUGGGUAGCAAACAGG